Molecule: long non-coding RNA, 1287 nt
Organism: Astatotilapia calliptera (eastern happy)
Lineage: Eukaryota; Metazoa; Chordata; Actinopteri; Cichliformes; Cichlidae
Source: Ensembl
CAAAAGCCCAGCAGGAGAGCUGACGCUACAUAUGGGUGAAUAGGUGGAGUGAUUGGGACUAAUUAAUCACCAGAGUCACUAUCACUGCAUUAGAGGUGUUAAUGACCCUGCGCUGCCGAUGAGGUAAAGUUUGCGACCCAUUUCAGACGCAAAGGCUCCAGCUUUUCCUUCGCCUACUUUUUGCAUUUUUUUGUUCCAUUUGCCAACAUGGAGCUCCGUUCGCGUCCUUAUUUGUUGUUUCAGAGCCAAGUGUUUUCUAUCUGAGGAAAUCUAGCUUGUUUUGAAAAUGGAAAACAGGCCUGAGGGGGCAAAUGGUAGCAGAGCCACACCCAGAGUGAUCAGCACGCAGUCUCAACAACAGAACUGUAAAGGGAGAGGCCUUUUGACACCGGCCCAUUUGCAUGCAUAAGAAAACACUGCCAAGCACACCCAGUAGAGGAGUAAAAAUGAAGCAGCGAGCAUGUUCGUGACAGCAGAAAAUGUUUGGAGGGGAAAGUUUCUCUGAGUCCCUGUUUUUUUUUUUGUUUUUUUUUUUUUUUUUAAAUACUAAAGAUGGAGUGACAUUUUCCAUGUCGUGUUCCUCUGCUCUGCACCAUGACAGUAUGUUAGUGGAAUAAGGAGGCCCUUGUCUGUGUUUCUCUGUGUCUGUCUGUCUGUCUGCCCCCUGGCUGGUCAGAUGAUGUGUCUGUCUUUUCUUUAUGGAGGUCUGUCUCUCGGUCCUGGAUUUGCAGAUAAGAUAGAAAAAAAAAUGGAGGGAAGAAAGACACAAGGAGAGGUUUUUAGAGGAGGAUAAAAAAAUAGAGGUCAGGAGAGGAGAAACUAGCGAGGAUAAGUAGAGGGGAAGGGGGAGAGAGGGAGUGAAAGAAAGAAAGAGAGUGAGAGAGAGUGAAUGGGCCCUUUGUGAUCAAAAGGCUUGUUUAUUUUCUUGGCGCUUGAACUCUUCAGGAGCCACAUUGGGCCUGUCUGCACUGUCUAGCUUGCGUCCUCAUCGCCUCCCCGACAGCCCAGCAACCAGCCCUGAAUUCACCGAGAGGAGCUGGGCCAUCUCAGAACCAAAACAAGCACAUCAAGCACGGAAAAAAAAGAAGGUUUAGACACUUGAAUCACUCGAAGCACACUCAGCUAAACAUCCUGAGCACUCGAGAGGUGGUAGGCAUGGAGAAGGUUCAUUUCAGAUUGAGUCAAAACAAGAGUUUCUUAGGUGUGACGCCUACUUUGAUUUUCUUUUCCUUUGGUAAAAAGUAGAAGCUAGUCAUUCGUGUACAACUUGUAAGUAAAUUUACUUCC